RNAcentral lists this ribosomal RNA (459 nucleotides) under uncultured Rhodocyclaceae bacterium. RNAcentral describes it as "bacterial SSU rRNA". It matches the Rfam family "Bacterial small subunit ribosomal RNA", at positions 924 to 1382 of the family's 1533-position model. Lineage: Bacteria; Pseudomonadati; Pseudomonadota; Betaproteobacteria; Rhodocyclales; Rhodocyclaceae. The record is from RNAcentral.
CACAAGCGGUGGAUGAUGUGGAUUAAUUCGAUGCAACGCGAAAACCUUACCUACCCUUGACAUGUCCAGAAUCCCGAAGAGAUUUUGGGAGUGCUCGCAAGAGAACCGGAACACAGGUGCUGCAUGGCUGUCGUCAGCUCGUGUCGUGAGAUGUUGGGUUAAGUCCCGCAACGAGCGCAACCCUUGUCAUUAGUUGCCAUCAUUUGGUUGGGCACUCUAAUGAGACUGCCGGUGACAAACCGGAGGAAGGUGGGGAUGACGUCAAGUCCUCAUGGCCCUUAUGGGUAGGGCUUCACACGUCAUACAAUGGUCGGUACAGAGGGUUGCCAACCCGCGAGGGGGAGCUAAUCCCACAAAGCCGAUCGUAGUCCGGAUCGCAGUCUGCAACUCGACUGCGUGAAGUCGGAAUCGCUAGUAAUCGUGGAUCAGCAUGUCACGGUGAAUACGUUCCCGGGUCUU